UACGUAGGGGCAAGCGUUGUCCGGAAUUAUUGGGCGUAAAGCGCGCGCAGGCGGUCCUUUAAGUCUGAUGUGAAAGCCCACGGCUUAACCGUGGAGGGUCAUUGGAAACUGAGGGACUUGAGUACAGAAGAGGAGAGUGGAAUUCCACGUGUAGCGGUGAAAUGCGUAGAGAUGUGGAGGAACACCAGUGGCGAAGGCGACUCUCUGGUCUGUAACUGACGCUGAGGUGCGAAAGCGUGGGGAUCAAACAGGAUUAGAUACCCUGGUA
This 268-nucleotide ribosomal RNA is filed under the name uncultured prokaryote. RNAcentral's name for it is "partial 16S ribosomal RNA". It matches the Rfam family "Bacterial small subunit ribosomal RNA", at positions 524 to 792 of the family's 1533-position model. The record is from RNAcentral.